RNAcentral lists this unclassified non-coding RNA (244 nucleotides) under fungal sp. RNAcentral's name for it is "partial internal transcribed spacer region". The stretch from base 1 to 46 matches the Rfam family "Eukaryotic small subunit ribosomal RNA", at positions 1786 to 1831 of the family's 1831-position model. Lineage: Eukaryota; Fungi. The record is from RNAcentral.
AAGUCGUAACAAGGUAACCGUAGGUGAACCUGCGGUUGGAUCAUUAAUGAAAUGAUUUUAUUGAGGGAUCUCUUUAUGGGAUCACUCUUUACCCAAAAAUUGUGAAUUUGUAUUAGGGUCGAAAGACCUCUUUUAUAUAAACAUUUAAUUUCCAUUUCUUUUUUUAAACAAAGCUAUACCUUUUAGGUAGAAACUUUAAAAACUAAAGUAAAAACAACUUUUGACAACGGAUCUCUUGGCUCUC